GAUGAAGAACGUAGCGAAAUGCGAUAAGUAGUGUGAAUUGCAGAAUUCCGUGAAUCAUCGAAUCUUUGAACGCACAUUGCGCCUCCUGGUAAUCCGUGAGGCAUGCCUGUUCGAGCGUCACCAAAAUCAAAUCAACCACUCCGGUGAUUGGUCAUGGAGGAAGAGUCCGUCGUGUUGUGGUCUCCCCUCCCAAAAUAAAUGGCGGAAAGUUGCUGGCACUCGGUGUAGGAGUAUUAUUCGCCGAUUGUCCAGUGUCGUUCCUGGCGUCAAAUCCCCACAAUUAUCUUGAUUGACCUCGGAUCAGGUAGGGAUACCCGCUGAACUUAAGCAUAUCAAUAAGCGGAGGA
RNAcentral lists this unclassified non-coding RNA (347 nucleotides) under soil metagenome. Its description in RNAcentral is "partial contains 5.8S ribosomal RNA, internal transcribed spacer 2, and large subunit ribosomal RNA". The stretch from base 1 to 120 matches the Rfam family "5.8S ribosomal RNA", at positions 35 to 154 of the family's 154-position model. The record is from RNAcentral.